RNAcentral lists this ribosomal RNA (254 nucleotides) under uncultured bacterium. RNAcentral's name for it is "partial 16S ribosomal RNA". It matches the Rfam family "Bacterial small subunit ribosomal RNA", at positions 524 to 776 of the family's 1533-position model. The record is from RNAcentral.
UACGUAGGGUGCGAGCGUUGUUCGGAAUCACUGGGCGUAAAGGGCGCGUAGGCGGCCCGCACAAGUCUGCGGUGAAAACCCCCGGCUUAACCGGGGGCCGGCCGUGGAAACUGUCGGGCUAGAGGCCGGGAGAGGGCAGCGGAAUUCCCGGUGUAGCGGUGAAAUGCGUAGAGAUCGGGAGGAACACCGGCGGCGAAGGCGGGACUCUGGGCCGAUACUGACGCUGAGGAGCGAAAGCGUGGGGAGCAAACAGG